AUGGGUAAGGUGCACGGAUCGCUGGCGCGGGCCGGGAAGGUGCGGGGGCAGACGCCCAAGGUGGCGAAGCAGGACAAGAAGAAGCAGCCGCGCGGCCGCGCCGUCGUCGGCUUCGGCAAGAAGCGCGGCCCCAACUCCUCCGAGAAGUAG
Molecule: ribosomal RNA, 150 nt
Filed under: Triticum aestivum (bread wheat)
Lineage: Eukaryota; Viridiplantae; Streptophyta; Magnoliopsida; Poales; Poaceae
Description: partial small subunit ribosomal RNA
Source: RNAcentral